GUGGGGAAUCUUGCGCAAUGGGCGAAAGCCUGACGCAGCCAUGCCGCGUGAAUGAUGAAGGUCUUAGGAUUGUAAAAUUCUUUCACCGGGGACGAUAAUGACGGUACCCGGAGAAGAAGCUCCGGCUAACUUCGUGCCAGCAGCCGCGGUAAUACGAAGGGGGCUAGCGUUGCUCGGAAUUACUGGGCGUAAAGGGCGCGUAGGCGGACAGCUUAGUCAGAGGUGAAAGCCCAGGGCUCAACCUUGGAAUUGCCUUUGAUACUGGCUGUCUUGAGUUUGGGAGAGGUGAGUGGAACUCCGAGUGUAGAGGAGAAAUUCGUAGAUAUUCGGAAGAACACCAGUGGCGAAGGCGACUCACUGGCCCAAUACUGACGCUGAGGCGCGAAAGCGUGGGGAGCAAACAGGAUUAGAAACCCGAGUAGUCC
RNAcentral lists this ribosomal RNA (425 nucleotides) under uncultured bacterium. Its description in RNAcentral is "partial 16S ribosomal RNA". It matches the Rfam family "Bacterial small subunit ribosomal RNA", at positions 354 to 796 of the family's 1533-position model. The record is from RNAcentral.